Molecule: unclassified non-coding RNA, 265 nt
Filed under: Bombus terrestris (buff-tailed bumblebee)
Lineage: Eukaryota; Metazoa; Arthropoda; Insecta; Hymenoptera; Apidae
Description: misc RNA ENSBTSG00005037918.1
Source: RNAcentral
CACUUGUCGAUCAGUUAUCAACCAGUUAUCAACGAAUUAUCAGCGAUUUAAUUAACGAAUCAUUAGCGAUCCUGUUUUACGACUUAUAUUAUAUUAUAUAUUUUUAAUCAAUCCUUUACACAAGUCCUCUAUAAAUUGGUAACUUCGACGUGAGUUGAACUAAACAACCUCUACAUUUCUAAGAUGAUAUCUCUCGAGGGUUUCAACGAAAGAUAAUACUCUAAAACUACAAUUUUGUUAAAAAAAAAAAAAAAGUAAUUCCUGU